AUUGAACGCUGGCGGCAUGCCUUACACAUGCAAGUCGAACGGCAGCACGGGUGCUUGCACCUGGUGGCGAGUGGCGGACGGGUGAGUAAAGCAUCGGAACAUGCCCACUUGUGGGGGAUAACGCACCGAAAGGUGUGCUAAUACCGCAUAAGCCCUGAGGGGGAAAGCAGGGGAUCUUCGGACCUUGCGCAGGUGGAGUGGCCGAUGUCGGAUUAGCUAGUUGGUGAGGUAACGGCUCACCAAGGCGACGAUCCGUAGCUGGUCUGAGAGGAUGAUCAGCCACACUGGAACUGAGAACGGUCCAGACUCCUACGGGAGGCAGCAGUGGGGAAUUUUGGACAAUGGGGGCAACCCUGAUCCAGCCAUGCCGCGUGAGUGAAGAAGGCCUUCGGGUUGUAAAGCUCUUUCGGCCGGGAAGAAAUCGUGCAGGCUAAUACCCUGUAUGGAUGACGGUACCGGAAUAAGAAGCACCGGCUAACUACGUGCCAGCCGCCGCAGUAA
Molecule: ribosomal RNA, 501 nt
Filed under: uncultured bacterium
Lineage: Bacteria
Description: partial 16S ribosomal RNA
Rfam family: Bacterial small subunit ribosomal RNA
Source: RNAcentral